UUUUAUGGAGAGUUUGAUCCUGGCUCAGGAUGAACGCUGGCGGCGUGCCUAAUACAUGCAAGUCGAGCGAACGGACGAGAAGCUUGCUUCUCUGAUGUUAGCGGCGGACGGGUGAGUAACACGUGGAUAACCUACCUAUAAGACUGGGAUAACUUCGGGAAACCGGAGCUAAUACCGGAUAAUAUUUUGAACCGCAUGGUUCAAAAGUGAAAGACGGUCUUGCUGUCACUUAUAGAUGGAUCCGCGCUGCAUUAGCUAGUUGGUAAGGUAACGGCUUACCAAGGCAACGAUGCAUAGCCGACCUGAGAGGGUGAUCGGCCACACUGGAACUGAGACACGGUCCAGACUCCUACGGGAGGCAGCAGUAGGGAAUCUUCCGCAAUGGGCGAAAGCCUGACGGAGCAACGCCGCGUGAGUGAUGAAGGUCUUCGGAUCGUAAAACUCUGUUAUUAGGGAAGAACAUAUGUGUAAGUAACUGUGCACAUCUUGACGGUACCUAAUCAGAAAGCCACGGCUAACUACGUGCCAGCAGCCGCGGUAAUACGUAGGUGGCAAGCGUUAUCCGGAAUUAUUGGGCGUAAAGCGCGCGUAGGCGGUUUUUUAAGUCUGAUGUGAAAGCCCACGGCUCAACCGUGGAGGGUCAUUGGAAACUGGAAAACUUGAGUGCAGAAGAGGAAAGUGGAAUUCCAUGUGUAGCGGUGAAAUGCGCAGAGAUAUGGAGGAACACCAGUGGCGAAGGCGACUUUCUGGUCUGUAACUGACGCUGAUGUGCGAAAGCGUGGGGAUCAAACAGGAUUAGAUACCCUGGUAGUCCACGCCGUAAACGAUGAGUGCUAAGUGUUAGGGGGUUUCCGCCCCUUAGUGCUGCAGCUAACGCAUUAAGCACUCCGCCUGGGGAGUACGACCGCAAGGUUGAAACUCAAAGGAAUUGACGGGGACCCGCACAAGCGGUGGAGCAUGUGGUUUAAUUCGAAGCAACGCGAAGAACCUUACCAAAUCUUGACAUCCUUUGACAACUCUAGAGAUAGAGCUUUCCCCUUCGGGGGACAAAGUGACAGGUGGUGCAUGGUUGUCGUCAGCUCGUGUCGUGAGAUGUUGGGUUAAGUCCCGCAACGAGCGCAACCCUUAAGCUUAGUUGCCAUCAUUAAGUUGGGCACUCUAAGUUGACUGCCGGUGACAAACCGGAGGAAGGUGGGGAUGACGUCAAAUCAUCAUGCCCCUUAUGAUUUGGGCUACACACGUGCUACAAUGGACAAUACAAAGGGCAGCGAAACCGCGAGGUCAAGCAAAUCCCAUAAAGUU
Molecule: ribosomal RNA, 1302 nt
Filed under: Staphylococcus aureus
Lineage: Bacteria; Bacillati; Bacillota; Bacilli; Caryophanales; Staphylococcaceae
Description: bacterial SSU rRNA
Rfam family: Bacterial small subunit ribosomal RNA
Source: RNAcentral